Molecule: long non-coding RNA, 482 nt
Organism: Balaenoptera ricei (Rice's whale)
Lineage: Eukaryota; Metazoa; Chordata; Mammalia; Artiodactyla; Balaenopteridae
Exons: 3
Source: RefSeq, a predicted model, not a curated record
UAAGGCCAGAUCCUUUCUGAGGCAGGCACCCACCCCGCUGCCCACUGUGCUGUUCAUACAGCUGCGUGCGGAGAACCCGCAGCCCGGCUACGAGGAGAGAUUGCGGCAGGACAGAGGGAGGAGAAGGACCGAGAAUUGUUUGUGUUUCUCCCUCGAAGAAAGGAAACAUGCUGGGAGCCAGAUGACCACGCAGAUCCUCAGAGAUGGCAAGUCCAGACCAUGGAUUCCUGUGUCCCAAAAUGCAAAGAUGGACCUGGGGGAGGUGUCACCUGACGUGGCUGAAGAUCAUCCUGGGCUGGUACAGACCCCCCCUGUCCUCCGUCCUGUGCUGACGAGUCUCACCCACAACCCAGGCACAGAAAUAGAAGGGCAGUCAGAGAUCACAGGUGACACGGAACUAGAGUGGAAUGCUAAUACAUUCAAGGGAAAAAUCAGAAUCACAAAAGGUCUCUAGAAAGUCUGAAUGAACCAGCCCAUAGGAC